Molecule: ribosomal RNA, 492 nt
Filed under: uncultured bacterium
Lineage: Bacteria
Description: partial 16S ribosomal RNA
Rfam family: Bacterial small subunit ribosomal RNA
Source: RNAcentral
AGUGAACGCUGGCGGUAGGCCUAACACAUGCAAGUCGAACGGCAGCACAGUAAGAGCUUGCUCUUACGGGUGGCGAGUGGCGGACGGGUGAGGAAUACAUCGGAAUCUACUUUUUCGUGGGGGAUAACGUAGGGAGACUUACGCUAAUACCGCAUACGACCUACGGGUGAAAGCAGGGGAUCUUCGGACCUUGCGCGAUUGAAUGAGCCGAUGUCGGAUUAGCUAGUUGGCGGGGUAAAGGCCCACCAAGGCGACGAUCCGUAGCUGGUCUGAGAGGAUGAUCAGCCACACUGGAACUGAGACACGGUCCAGACUCCUACGGGAGGCAGCAGUGGGGAAUAUUGGACAAUGGGCGCAAGCCUGAUCCAGCCAUACCGCGUGGGCGAAGAAGGCCUUCGGGUUGUAAAGCCCUUUUGUUGGGAAAGAAAAGCAGCAGGUUAAUACCCCGCUGUUCUGACGGUACCCAAAGAAUAAGCACCGGCUAACUUCGUG